CUUGCUGGAAUGUCCAGGG
Molecule: microRNA, 19 nt
Filed under: Haemonchus contortus (barber pole worm)
Lineage: Eukaryota; Metazoa; Nematoda; Chromadorea; Rhabditida; Trichostrongylidae
Description: hco-miR-5973
Source: miRBase by way of RNAcentral